AGGAUGAACGCUGGCGGCGUGCCUAAUACAUGCAAGUCGAGCGGUAAGGCCACUUCGGUGGGUACACGAGCGGCGGACGGCUGAGUAACACGUAGGAACGUACCCCAAACUGAGGGAUAAGCACCAGAAAAUGGUGUCUAAUACCGCAUGUGCUCUUCGGAGUAAAGCUACGGCGGUUUGGGAACGGCCUGCGCAAGAUUAGCUUGUUGGUGAGGUAAUAGCUCACCAAGGCGACGAUCUUUAGCUGGUCUGAGAGGAUGACCAGCCAGACUGGAACUGAGAACGGUCCAGACUCCGUACGGGAGGCAGCAGUAGGGAAUUUUCCACAAGUGGAC
RNAcentral lists this ribosomal RNA (335 nucleotides) under uncultured bacterium. Its description in RNAcentral is "SSU rRNA". It matches the Rfam family "Bacterial small subunit ribosomal RNA", at positions 26 to 377 of the family's 1533-position model. The record is from RNAcentral.